Molecule: ribosomal RNA, 1372 nt
Filed under: uncultured bacterium
Lineage: Bacteria
Description: bacterial SSU rRNA
Rfam family: Bacterial small subunit ribosomal RNA
Source: RNAcentral
GAUGAACGCUGGCGGCGUGCCUAAUACAUGCAAGUCGAGCGAACGGACGAGAAGCUUGCUUCUCUGAUGUUAGCGGCGGACGGGUGAGUAACACGUGGAUAACCUACCUAUAAGACUGGGAUAACUUCGGGAAACCGGAGCUAAUACCGGAUAAUAUUUUGAACCGCAUGGUUCAAAAGUGAAAGACGGUCUUGCUGUCACUUAUAGAUGGAUCCGCGCUGCAUUAGCUAGUUGGUAAGGUAACGGCUUACCAAGGCAACGAUACGUAGCCGACCUGAGAGGGUGAUCGGCCACACUGGAACUGAGACACGGUCCAGACUCCUACGGGAGGCAGCAGUAGGGAAUCUUCCGCAAUGGGCGAAAGCCUGACGGAGCAACGCCGCGUGAGUGAUGAAGGUCUUCGGAUCGUAAAACUCUGUUAUUAGGGAAGAACAAACGUGUAAGUAACUGUGCACGUCUUGACGGUACCUAAUCAGAAAGCCACGGCUAACUACGUGCCAGCAGCCGCGGUAAUACGUAGGUGGCAAGCGUUAUCCGGAAUUAUUGGGCGUAAAGCGCGCGUAGGCGGUUUUUUAAGUCUGAUGUGAAAGCCCACGGCUCAACCGUGGAGGGUCAUUGGAAACUGGAAAACUUGAGUGCAGAAGAGGAAAGUGGAAUUCCAUGUGUAGCGGUGAAAUGCGCAGAGAUAUGGAGGAACACCAGUAGCGAAGGCGACUUUCUGGUCUGUAACUGACGCUGAUGUGCGAAAGCGUGGGGAUCAAACAGGAUUAGAUACCCUGGUAGUCCACGCCGUAAACGAUGAGUGCUAAGUGUUAGGGGGUUUCCGCCCCUUAGUGCUGCAGCUAACGCAUUAAGCACUCCGCCUGGGGAGUACGACCGCAAGGUUGAAACUCAAAGGAAUUGACGGGGACCCGCACAAGCGGUGGAGCAUGUGGUUUAAUUCGAAGCAACGCGAAGAACCUUACCAAAUCUUGACAUCCUUUGACCCUUCUAGAGAUAGAAGUUUCCCCUUCGGGGGACAAAGUGACAGGUGGUGCAUGGUUGUCGUCAGCUCGUGUCGUGAGAUGUUGGGUUAAGUCCCGCAACGAGCGCAACCCUUAAGCUUAGUUGCCAUCAUUAAGUUGGGCACUCUAAGUUGACUGCCGGUGACAAACCGGAGGAAGGUGGGGAUGACGUCAAAUCAUCAUGCCCCUUAUGAUUUGGGCUACACACGUGCUACAAUGGACAAUACAAAGGGCAGCGAAACCGCGAGGUCAAGCAAAUCCCAUAAAGUUGUUCUCAGUUCGGAUUGUAGUCUGCAACUCGACUACAUGAAGCUGGAAUCGCUAGUAAUCGUAGAUCAGCAUGCUACGGUGAAUACGUUCCCGGGUCU